This 345-nucleotide ribosomal RNA is filed under the name uncultured bacterium. Its description in RNAcentral is "partial 16S ribosomal RNA". It matches the Rfam family "Bacterial small subunit ribosomal RNA", at positions 338 to 700 of the family's 1533-position model. The record is from RNAcentral.
CCUACGGGGGGCUGCAGUGGGGAAUAGUGCACAAUGGGGGAAACCCUGAUGCAGCGACGCCGCGUGAGCGAUGAAGUAGUUCGGUAUGGAAAGCUCUAUCAGCAGGGAAGAAAAUGACGGUACCUGACGAAGAAGCCCCGGCUAACUACGUGCCAGCAGCCGCGGUAAUACGUAGGGGGCAAGCGUGAUCCGGAUUUACUGGGUGUACAGGGAGCGUAGACGGCUUGGCAAGCCAGAGGUGAAAGGCUGGGGCUCAACCCCAGGACUGCAUUUGGAACUGUCAUGCUAGAGUGUCGGAGAGGCAGGCGUUCUUCCUCGUGUCGCGGUUACAUGCGUAGCUCUUAG